GGGUCAGUAGGUUGGUCGUGCCACCGGUACGUACUGGUCUCACUGAUUCCUCCUUCCUGAAGAACCGUAAUGCCAUUAAUUUGGUGUUGCGGGGAAACAGGACUGUUACUUUGAAAAAAUUAGAGUGUUUAAAGCAAGCUAACGCUUGAAUACAUUAGCAUGGAGUAAUGAAAUAGGACGAUCGAUCCUAUUUUGUUGGUUUCUAGGAUUGACGCA
This 216-nucleotide ribosomal RNA is filed under the name Glomeromycotina sp. RNAcentral's name for it is "partial small subunit ribosomal RNA". The stretch from base 40 to 216 matches the Rfam family "Eukaryotic small subunit ribosomal RNA", at positions 686 to 864 of the family's 1831-position model. Lineage: Eukaryota; Fungi; Glomeromycota. The record is from RNAcentral.